RNAcentral lists this long non-coding RNA (28320 nucleotides) under Olea europaea (common olive). Its description in RNAcentral is "long non-coding RNA (OEUR_LNC001202)". The record is from RNAcentral. Lineage: Eukaryota; Viridiplantae; Streptophyta; Magnoliopsida; Lamiales; Oleaceae.
CAAAACAAUGUAAGAAACUAUCCUAAUGUCAGGUUUAGAUACAUUGCAGUUGGAAAUGAAGUGAGUCCAUUGAAAUCGGACACAUCUCAGUAUGUACCAUUUGUCCUCCCUGCCAUGAGAAAUAUUCAAACUGCAAUUUCAGCAGCUGGACUUGGGAACCAGAUUAAGGUUUCUACUUCCAUUGAAACUGGUAUGAUCGAAAAUUCUUAUCCUCCAUCAAAUGGUGUAUUUCGAGCUCAAGUUCGAGACUAUAUUCAAGGGAUCAUUCAGUUCUUGGUAAACAACAGAGCCCCUCUACUUGUCAACAUAUACCCCUAUUUUGCACGCACUGGUAAUCCGCAACAGAUUACUCUCGAGUAUGCUCUUUUUACGUCAGAUGGAAUCGUAACGCCUGAUGGAACGCGGUACCAAAAUCUUUUCUACGCCUUAUUAGAUGCCAUGUACGCAGCCCUUGAAAAGUCUGGUGGCUCAUCUCUGGAAAUUGUUGUAUCCGAGAGUGGUUGGCCUUCGGCUGGAGGACAAGACGCGUCCAUUGAUAACGCAAGGACCUAUAACACGAAUUUGGUGCAACGUGUAAAGACAGGAACCCCAAAGAGGCCUGGAAGAGCAAUAGAAACUUACAUUUUUGCUAUGUUUGAUGAAGAUCAGAAGAGCCCCGAGUAUGAGAAAUUUUUCGGGCUCUUUCGACCAAACAAACAAGCUAAGUACCCAAUCAGCUUUAACUAAUUCUAGAUAACAAGUGUAUCAAUAAGGAGGAUAAUACUCUAGAUCUGGGACUUACAAGUUCUAAAUAAGAACUCCUCCAGUUUAUUUGACAAGCAAUAAAGAGCAGCAUGAAUAGUCAACUACGAUGGCAAUAAAGAAGGAAUUGAAUCAACAGUGAGCUACUUUCUAUUCUGUUUAUGUUUUUUCUUUUUUUCUUUUUUUUUUAUUUUUUUUUUUUUGAAUCCGUAAACAGACCAAAGGACUGCUGCAACAGAUUCUAUUGAAAGGAUAUUAAACUUCAUAAAUGAAUAAAGAUACUUUCAUUUAAUCGUGUGGUUAAAAAAUGAAUUAAACUAUAUGUACUGAAUCUUGAUGACCGAAUCGAUGCCCUACUCUCACAUGCGCGUGGGCCCCACACACAUUUAAAAAUUCCGAACUAUGGACCCCGCCCUCUUAUUGUGAGUGUAGGUAAAAUAUUAGGUAAGAAAGUGAAUGUAAGUGUAACAUGGUCCUUAAAAAAUACUCAUUUGACUAUUAAAGAACAGAUGUGGGCUCUAAGGUGCGUUUACAACUUCAUUGUCCUUUAAAAUGUUAACUGGCUAUCGCAAGUUGUGGUGUACAAAAGUUGAUAAAAUAUGUGUUUGAAAAAUUGUGGAUCGUAUGAAAUGUGCAGUUAAAAUUAAUUGUUAAAUUUAAUUCUAACUGUCAGCUGGUUGUUAAGGUGACAGCUUCAAGCCUAAUUUCUGGUGGCACAUCCCUUACACAAACCACCUUACUCUUGAGUUGUCAAUUGCGAAGUAGUACCGUGAGGAAUUUAAUUAACUUUUUAACUAUGGGCUAUAUAUAUAUUUGUGACUUUGAAAGUGAGGUAACCUGUCCUGAUGUCUUUUCUACGAAGACAUCAUUUUUUCUAGGUCUUUUUGUCUCCUAAAGAGAAUUCUAUUAUCAACUCAUGAUCUAGGUUAACAAUUAUUUACAUAGUAAGUAUGAAGGAAUCAGUUUCUUUUAUAUAUAUAUAUAUAUACUUUUUUUUUUUUUUUUUAAAGAUCAUUUAAAUAGACCAAAUGUUGAAGGAUAAAUACUCCAGUUAAGUGCUUUAAGACCCGUAGGAGAGAUUUGAACCCUUAGUAAACAAACAAAAUCCUACAUAACAACUCAAUGCUAUGUCUCAAAUCACUCUUAUCAUUUAUUUUGUAUAGUCCUAUUUGGCAAAGAUUAAAAUAAGAUUUAUAGUAGAUUUUGAUAAAAGUUAAUGAAAUGUAUAGUUAAAAAGUUUUGAAUCUCAUGAAAUAUGUGAUUAAAAUUAAUUAUUGAUUUUGAUUUUUAUAAAAAGUUAUAUUUAUAUAUAUUUUACGCAUGAUUUCAUCUAAUUCAAGAUAACUCUCUACUUAAUUCCUCAAACUAUUGGUUAGUAAACAAUAAGGUCAUUGGACUAGACCAAUAACUAAUAAGGUCAUUAAACUUUAAUAAUAGUAUACAAAGUCCUAAAUUUAANNNNNAACCAUAUUAUUUAAUACUUGACUCCUGCAGGGAUUCUAUCCCAGGCAUAAUUAUGGCAUCGAUCCAAUUCCUUCACCUAAUAGGACUCCGCUGGAUAGAGAUACCCAACUAGUUGAGUCCUACUAGGAGAAGGCUGCUUACUACUAUAAAUACAGGACCAUGGGUUAUUGGUCAGGUACGUUUUCAUUAUUCUCUAGUUUAUAGCUUGACGCACAUAAUUCCCUUUCUGACUUAAGCAUCGGAGGAGCGACGAGAACAUACCUAGUUGCCUUUGUUUCAGGUACCGAAAGACUAUGAUCAUGCUCAUUCAAAAUCCUCAAUCUCAGGAAAUCACCAAGUACGAUUUUUGGUAGUAUCAGGUCCAUAGAACUUAGUUUUAUUGUUUGAGUUCAGAGUGAACAUCAAAACUUAUGGAAUAAUCCUCUAGCUUCGCCUAAUUCAAAACCUAAGGUAAUUACUUUUGCCUUUUGGCUCGGGUAGUUACCACUAACCCUUCAAAUUUGCUUCUUCCCACUCUACUGAAAGAUUUAAAAUGAACCUCAUGUACCCAAAAAUGCAACAUCGACAUAAUUGAUUACUCUUUCAACCCUAAAAAAUAGACUUGCUCUAGAUAACACUUGAGCAAGAUAUGGAUAAUUGUGUGAUUUCCAUACCGACGUCAACAAAAAACAUCAGCUCUCUAACUAAAUAAGAAAAACCUGAUCACCCUUCUCAUCUAAACUAAUUAUCAAAUGCAAUAGACAUAGUUACACCAUAAAUCAAAUCUUUUCCAUCGAAAGAUGAUAGAAUUAAAUCAAGUAACAAUUCAUAUUCACCAACACAAGACAAGAAAUUGUUUGAAAUUAAAUCAAGGAGGAUAAGUUACAUUGGCGGACCUACUCAUGGUCCUAGUGGGUCAAGUGACCCCCCAUCUAUCAAGAUAUAUAUAUAUAUUUUUAUUUUUAUUUUUUUUUUUUUUUUUUUUUUUUUUUUUUUUUUUUUAAAAGAUCAUUUAAAUAGACCAAAUGUUGAAGGAUAAAUACUCCAGUUAAGCGCUUUAAGACCCGUAGGAGAGAUUUGAACCCUUAGUAAACAAACAAAAUCCUACAUAACAACUCAAUGCUAUGUCUCAAAUCACUCUGAUCAUUUAUUUUAUAUAGUCCUGUUUGGCAAAGAUUAAAAUAAGAUUUUUAGCAGAUUUUGAUAAAAGUCCCUAAAAUGUAUAGUUAAAAAGUUUGAAUCUCAUGAAAUAUGUGAUUAAAAUUAAUUAGUGAUUUUGAUUUUAAUAAAAAAUUAUGUUUACAUAUAUUUUACGCAUGAUUUCAUCUAACAUUCAAGAUAACUCUCUACUUAGGUCCUCAAACUAUUAGUUAGUAAACAAUAAGGUCAUUGGACUAGGCCAAUAACUAAUAAAGUCAUUAAACUUUAAUAAUAGUAUACAAAGUCCUAAAUUUAAAUCAAACUACUAUUGAGAAAAAUUCGAGAUGUUACAAUAAGUCCUCAAUUUAAAUCUAACCACUACCUAAGAUAUAUUUAUCAUUAUGGCAAUCCACAAUUACCAUAGAAAUAUCUAAUAACGCAUGAAUCCACAUAGUGAACCACACUGCAAUAAUGUGAAGGUAUCAAACCUAAAUUAAUUGCAAUCCACGAUUACCUACAUUUGUAUGAGAAUGGGUCUGGGACGUAACACACUUCUUUAACUUUUAAGAUUAUCAAGUUUACAUUCCAGAUUACCGAUUAGUUCAACCUUACGUGCGGAACUGUGCUAACCAAAGGAAAUAGGUAUCUUUUAAUUAGUUUCUAGAUGAUCAAGCAUACAAUUCAAUUAACCCUAUGUUUGAAUACCAUAGUUUCUAAUAAAUUGUUGAAAAGUAAAGAACACAAAAUUUGAUGACAGAGAAACCCAAUGUGGGAAAAACUCCGGGAGCAAGCCAGUUACCUCCACUAUAGAUAGUUCAAAGAAUAAAUAGCAAUUCCACAUCUUGUACCCAUUAAGACCCUUUGUUACAAUCUCACGAUCUACUAUUAUAAACCCCUCUAGCCUGCUAGACCUCUUGUAGCCUCCUGCUAUAGUAGAUACCUCUAGCUUCCUGCUAGACUUCUUGAUCUACCUCCUACAACCCAAUCUAUUGUCUUAUACAGCCUCCUAGUCUUAUGCUGAAUGUCUCUCCAAGUAGAACACCAAGAACCCCAUGUUCUUGUGCUCAUAAUUGUGCUUCAAUCCACCUCUCUCAAUCCCCUAAUGAGAGAGUCAUUUCCUCAAAAGAUUAAGGAAGCACGGUAUUUUGGAUUCUCGAACCUUUGAUGUUUUUACAAAACUCGAUUGCCGGAUCACAAGAAUAAAUAUGAUGGACUCACCAAUGAAUUGCGCAUUAGAUCUCUUGAACAAUGAUAUGAAAGUGUUGUAGACAUGAAAGCACAAUGAGCAACCUUGAGAAAAAUCAUCCAUGACUCUAAUAUUUAUAGUUGGGAGCAAAUAGGUGUCAUGGGCAGUUUAAAAUUUUCAAGUCGCGACCUAGGGUUUUGCCAUGUGGCACUGUCGCUCGAGCGAUACUCUAGCAAGAAGCGAGCAACGGCUUCUUCUCUUAAGCGACGCAAGGGCGACAAGCAGGCCACGAUGGUUGUGCUUCAACCGCUCGAGCAACAACUUGACAAGCAACUAGUGAAAAUCCAACAAGUCUUCUACUUUUUUCCAAACUCAACCUUAGCCUAAGCCAUCUACACAAAUUUCAACCCAAGUACUAGUUACAACAUGUUCAACUUAGUCCAUUUUGUUCACAAAAUCACAAGUUACAAUAUAAAACAUAACAAACUUUCUCUUUGGCAUUCUGUGAUAAAACUAUACAAAUGAAGUCAAGACUUGAAAAUAAAAAACUAUUCUACCCAGUAUACCUAAUUACUAAGUCUUGCAUUCCUUGUUGUAUCUGUUUCCUGAAAUCCAAAAAUUCACUUACCUAGUGUAAAAGUACGUGAUACAGGAAAUAUAUAAAUUUAAGCACUUAACAAUAAAUCAAAAUGCUAGUUUGAGAUGCGACAUUGAUGCCAAUCAAAACACCAAUAUCACUAAACAUCAAAACUCAAACAGCAAUGGAUGUGAUAUGGAACGGAAUGUAAUGCAAUGCUCCCCCUUAUUGAAAACUCUCAUGAAUUUUGAUGCAAUAAUACAAAUGUAUCUAUGUCUCUUCCCAAUGAUGCAUAGACAUAGCAAUGCAAAAUACAAAAUGUCAAUCAAACAGUGAAAACAGUGCACAUGCAAAUGCAAAAUCACUUCUCCUAUAUAUAGCUCAUCUCAUUUCUUCCCCUCAAUUACACAUUUUUCUCCCCAUUUUUGUCACAAAUACUGAAGAGAACACUAUCAAAAUCAAAUAGAGCAUAAUAAUAUAAAAAUGCAGUUGAUAGCAUGUACAAGUAAAAUCAAUAGAGCAUAAACCUUCCCAUAUACUUAGUUCAUAUCAGAAUGGAGUAAAUAGUACAAGUGACUCAUGCGUGUAGAGUGUCACUAAUCCAAUGCAAAUAGGACUCCAAACGUUAAUUUUGUGAGAAAUGACAUGCUAAUCACUGUCAAUAAGUAUAUUUCCCUACUAAUGAAAGUCAAACCAUGAAAGUACAAUAGAAUUUAUACUUAUUAUUUUUUACAUUUCUCCCCUUUUUUUUAGCAUUUAUAUUUUAUAAUUUUCCAUAUUUUUUCAGCUAAUCAUAUUUUUCACAUUUGUUUACAUUUUUCAAACUUAUUUAUUUUUCAUCUUAAGUGCAGGUUUUUCUCUAUUAGGCGACUAAGAGGAUCCCUGUAACGAGUUUUAGGCCGAUUAACCCAAGUCAAUUGACCAUAGGCACCAAGUUUAAAAGAACCCGCAUGCUUAAUUGCUCGAGUCAAAUAGGCCCCAAAGAAGAAUAUUAAGAUAAAGAGCUUUUACAUGGGGGAAUAUUUUCAGGCUUAGGUCUACUAAAUUUGGUCAAUUCAUGUUCGAAGUCACCCUAUUAACAUGUGACAGCCAUCCCAAAUCUCGCUCACGCAGUAGAGUCUCACAAACAAAUUUAUAGUGUGUGCAGUGCAGAUAGUAUAUGAAGACACUUAUAAUAAAUAAUUCAAAAUGAUCUAAACAAGUAACAGAAAUUAUUCUACAGUUUAUCAACUUUAGCUCAUACAUUAUCACAACAUGUAAGUUCAAGAACUAUAUGUCAUGUUGUAGAACUGUUCCAACUAUUUUUGGUGUUUUUCUAUUUUUCAAUUUUUUUUGUUUUUCAUUUUUCCAAAAAUGAAUGCUCACGCACUAGAAAAACAAAGUCAAGCACACAACACAAAAACAAAAUAUGCAUGUGCCGAUGCAACCAAUGUAAAUGUACAUGCAUGAAACCAAAAACAAAGCAAAAGAAAAAUAAACACAUAUAAUUGAUGCAUGCACAAAUAAUAUGACAAUUAAGAAUAGACAUGCAUCAAAAAUAGAAAUACCUAAUCAUCUAGGUAUAUAAGUGAUAUUUCCUUUAAGAGCACUGUGAUCUGCUAUAAUAUUGGGAGAUCACUCUUCUUUACCCAAACCUGUCUAGUAGGAGAACAGUUCCUAGACAGUUGUGUCACAAAUUUGGUCAAACAAUUCACUCAAUUGAUAAGAAAUCCAAUCUGACCAACAAACACCUGAUUCUUGUUGUUUUUCAAGUUCAUAUUUUUCAUUUUGUUCAGGUACUGAUGACAUCUAGGGCGGAUAUGACCUAACUCACCACAAUGAAAGCAUAUCGCGAUAAACCUAGGACUUGUGUUAUGUGAACGCUAACGUCUAUUUCUAGGCCGACGGUCCUACGUUGUCUCGUAGACCUCUAUCCUACAAAUCCCUUUUCUAACUUAGAUGAUCUACUAGUGAAGUCAAGCAGUUGAGACUUAGAAUGCUCUAACUCGCUCACAAGGUUCACAACCUGAAUGUCUAAAGUCUCAUUCAUGAUAGUCAAUUUGCUGACUUUCCUAGAGGACCUCUCAAGCUUAUUGGUAAGAUUCUUAACCUGAGACUCUAAAGAUUCAUUUAUCGACUUAAGCUCACACUGGAAAGUGGAAGAUUCCUUAAGGCACUACACCAAAAAUGGUCUAUUGCAACACAUAAAAGGCAACAUUCGGUAAUUAAGUGUUGCUAAAAGGGUCUAUUGCAACAUUUGAAUAAGUGAAUGUUAAAAUUAGUCAUUAAAAUUGAGUUUUAGCAACAUUUUUUAAAUAAAUGUUGCCAAUGAUACUUUUCACGACGUUUUUGGAAAGUUGCGAAAUGUUUUAGUUUUUGCAACGUUUAAAAAACGUUGCGAAAAGUUUGCCUAUUGCAACGUUUUAAACGUUUAAAAAACAUUGCGAAAAGUCUACCUAUUGCAACGUUUUUUUAAAACGUUGCAAUAGGUAGACUAAAAAAACGUUGCAAUAGGCAGACUUUUCGCAACGUUUUUUAAAUGUUGCAAAAGAUGUCUUUCGCAACGUUUAUAACGUUGCUGAAGGUUGACUUUGUUGCAACAUUUUUUAAAUGUUGCAAAAGGUAGACUUUUCGCAACGUUUUUUAAAAGUUGCCAAAGGUAGACGUUUUGUAACAUUUUUUAAAUGUUGCAAAAGAUUAAUGGGCCUUUUUGUUUGGAUUGUUGGGCCUUUCGAUUUAGAAGCCCAAGAGAAAAACGUUAAGGCCUUAACUCCCAGCAGACAAUAGCCCAUUAACCUAAAUAUGUAGCCCAAUAAUACCAAUAGUCAUUACCCAUUUAUGAUUUUUGAUUCAUUUGUUCACUUAAUUCCAUUCCCAUAACCCCACCAUUCCUUUGCAAACCAUUUGAAAGAAUUCCCAAAAAAUUAAAAUCCAUCUUCACCUUGUCCCUGCCCAUAGCCGCCGGCUGAAUGGAACCGCCGAUUGCCAACUCACUGUCAGGCCGUGAGUGACGGACUCUCACCGAUUCACCGCCUCACGCCUGGCUACCAACAUGGGUUAGGUUUUACGGUAAGUAAUCUACGUUAUGAUGUUGAAAUUUCUGGUUGCUAGCAAUUUCUUGGGGAAAGAUGUCCUAAUUAUAAUGGACCUCGACGGUUUGCCUUUAUGUUAUAAUUGCUUGCUACAUUACAACUGCAUUCUAGUUGUUGAGUAGUUAACAUAAUGUUGUCGCCGCUAUUUCUCUUUGCACUUGCACUUAAAGAAGCAAAUUGAUCUGUUAUGACAUUUUUGGGGCUUGAUGUUGGAUAGUCUGGAGAUAUUCUGCUGUGAUAAGAAUGGUCUGGAAACAUAAAGUACUGGAAUAUUAGAGAAAUGAGAUAUCAUUGAUGGAGAACCAGGAGACUGUUGCUUUUAUAAAAAUAUUCAAACGGAUAGGAACAGAAUAAUGAGUUCUUUGGUCAAACAACUAGCAUGGAACGAAUUAUAUUUGUGUUUGUAGUGCAAAGAGAAUUAAAUCUGUCUUAAUUGAAACUACAUGCUAUAUAUUGUUGAACACAUGACUUUUUCCUUGCUUCUUUUGAAGUGAUUAGUAUUAUUAGCAAGGGGAUGAAAUAUAUUUGUGUUACUGUAAAGAGAAUUAAAUGUGAUUUAAUUGAGACCACAUGCUGUAUCUUGUUACGUAUUUGAACUUUUCCUUGCUUCUUUUGAAGUGAUUGGUAUCAUUAGGAGGAAGGCAUUGAUUAAAGACUUGGCUGCUGCAUACCACAUUGAGUGCCUUACGUAUUGUAGGAACCUUUAGAACUUCAAAGUAAAGUUGACGAGGAAAAAAUUCUCAUGCCACAUAUUUUCUUUGUUUUCUCUCAAUCAUGCUUUUCUUAUUGAUUCUUAACAUAACUGCAAAUUGUGAUUUAUUUGGAUGGUUUAUUUACUAUAUUGAUACUUGGCACUAUUAUUCAUCUGUAAUUCAUUUGCUCAAAAUGUAUUGCUCCUUAAAUUACAUCAUGAUUGAAUUUGAUCUUGUAGUUCAGAAUUUACAAAUAGGCAUAAUCUUGUGUUGCUAUGGAACCGUGGGCGAGAAAUCUUAGAUGUUCCUUCACUAUUCAUAUACUUGUUGAAAUAGUUGCUGCACAGUCGUAAUGGAUAAUAAAAGCGUAUGGUUUUACCUAAUUCUUAUUUUAAUUAUUGUUGAUGAAUGAAAAUUCGCAAUUCUGCAACAAGUGUUGUUAAGCAAAAGUUGUUUUCGAAAACUUCGAUUUUCAAAACUCACUUUACAUGUAUAAUAACUUUUGUAAUUUUUGUAUCAUUAUACAGAAUGUGGAAGAUAGAAAUUCAAAUACUUUUACUCAGGUUUCCGUUUCCUAUAUUAUUAAAUGUUUAUUUAAUAUAUAUUCAGUUUGUAGCAUUCUAAUUUUAAAAAGAAUACUUUCUGUUUAUUAUGAAUUUGUAGUCACACUAAGGAAGUGGUGCCCAAGGAAGUACUACCCCUAAGACAAAUGCAAGAUGUCAACUGUUGCAUUGGUAUAUGUUUGAGGAGGAAGAAGUCGUAGCAAAAGGGAAGAUUGCCACAACAGAUCCAAGUGCAAAGGUGCAUCACUUGCCACUCGGUCGAGACUGUUGAAAGGUUUGGGCUGAGGAAGUCUAUAUGGGUAAUUUGACCCUAUACAGACCCACAGAUGAAUUCCGCACUCUUAGUGAAGUCAUGGGAAGUACUGUUGCUUGGCCAAAGAGUAGUAUUAGACUUCUUGAUUAAGGUAUUAGACUCUUAGUGGCAAUGGUAUUGAUCAAGUAACAUGCGACGAUUUCAAGUUUAAGUUUCGAUUUUUGUAGUUUCCUAAUUACAUUUUGGUAGUAAAUGUUUGGAGACUCUUAAUUUUAUUUUGGAAGAGAUUAUGUGUUGAAUAUUUUACAAAUUUAAUGAGUAAUGUGUUUUUUAGUUUAUUAUUUUGGUGGUACAUGUUUGUUAGUUUUGAAUGGCUUAUUUGAUCAAAGAACAAGAUUUUUAGUAGUGUUAAGCAUAGAUAAAAAAAUGUGAAUUAACUAUUACAACGUUUGUUAAAUGUUGCAAUAGAUAGGUUAUUGCAACAUCUUUCCAAACGUUGCAAUAGCCUAUGUAUUGCAACGUUUGUAAUAUCUAUCUAUUGCACCGUUUAAAAAAUGUUGCAAUAGAUAGGCUAUUGCAACAUCUUUCCAAUAUUGCAAUAGCCUGUCUAUUGCAACAUUUAGGAAAUGUUGCAAAAGCCUAGAUAUUACAACACCUUUUAAACGUUGCAAAAGCCUAGAUAUUGCUAAACGUUGCAAUAGAUAGGCUUUUGCAACAUUUGCUAAACGUUGCAAUAAACUAGGCUUUUGCAACAUUUUUUAAACGCUGCAAAAAGUCUUACCUCAACAGCAACAUCAAGCUUCGCAACAUACGCUCAAAUGCUACAAAUGACUUUUUGCAACGCUUUUUGACCGUUGCAAUAGCCCUUUGUUGGUGUAGUGAGGUACGCUUCAAACUUAGCUUUCUCCAAUUGUAGCUCUUGAACAGUUGUACUUAACGCCUUCUUUUACUGAGAAUUUUUAGGCUCUCCCGAUACAAUUUCUCAUAGGCCUCUUUAAUAUCUUCCUCAUUUAGAGACUCAUCACCAGAAUCCUCACCUCUAUUUGUGUUCUCAUCCUUCUUACUCUCCUGUUCGAAUCCAUUUUGACCCUAGCAACGAAGAAAACGUAUUUUCCACUUUCCUCACGAGUGGAUUUCUCACUCUGAUUGUUCGAGCUAGACCCGUCAUCAGUGAGAGUAUUAUUUAUAGACUUCUCUUUAACUCUCUUAGCACUAGAGCAUUCCUUCUUAACAUGACCUAUACUUUGACAGUUAUGGCACCUCACAGAUUUAGAUCUUUUCCUAGAUUCACUCGGGCCACCUUUCUGUCUCUUUUGUAGUUUCCUCUUAUUCCUAAGCAUCUUAUGGAAUGCUUUAGCUAGGUAGGCCAUCUCCUCAUUAUUUGGUGAAUCUGAGUCAGAAGAUUUAGCCUAAUUAUUCCUUGUAGAUUUCAAGGCCAAGGAUUUUUUUCUUAGCUAGGUUACGUAAGGAAAGGUCAUAGGUCUAGAGGAUCCAACUAGCUCUUCUAUCUCAAUAAUGUCUAUGUCCUUACUUUCCUCAAUUGCCGUGACUUUAGGCCUUAAAUGCUUGAGUAAGGAUCUAAGGAUUUUUCUCACUAUCUUAGGCUCGGGAAUUUUCUCACUAGGUUGAAGGAUGAAUUCACAAUGUCAUUUAGGCUCUCAUGGAACAUAGCAAAGUACUCAUCAUUUCUCAUCCUUAUCUAUUCAAACCUAGUAGCCAUCAUCUACAGAUUGGAGUUCUUAACUGCCUGUGUUCCUUCAUGUGUGGUUUCUAAAAUAUCUCAAACUUCUUUCACAACCUCACACAUGGAUACUCUUCCAAACUCCUCGGGGGAAAUAGUCAUAAAGAGGGCAUGAAAGGCUUUGCUAUUCUAGUUGUACCUAUCUAGUUCUGCCCUAAACUAAUUUUUUAUGAGGUGGGAGUAAUGAAAUUGUCAACCAUGGUACUAGAGGCACAUCAACCAUUAACUACACUCAACCAAAUCCUUUCAUCAAUAGAUUUCAGGAACGCCUUCAUCUUAACUUUCCAAUAGGCAUAAUUACUAUGAUCAAAAUAGGAUGGCACUCAAUGGAGUACUCAUCUAGAAAAUGUAAGGUCAGGACAAGUGUUUAGGCUCUGAAACCACUUGUGAGUACAAGUUUGGGACGUAACACACUACUUUAACUUUUAAGAUUACCAAGUUUACAUUCCAGAUUAUCGAUUAGUUCGACCUCAAGUGCAGAAUUGUACAAACCAAAGGAAACAAGUCUCUUUUAAUUAAUUUCUAGAUGAUUAAGUAUACAAUUCAAUUAACCCUAUGUUUGAGUACCGCGGUUUGUAAUAAAUUGCUGAAAAGUAAAGAACAUGAAAUUUGAUGACGGAAAAACCCAACCUGGGAAAAACUCUAGGACUAAGCCAGUUACCUCCAUUAUAGAUAGUUCAGGGAAUAUACAACAAUUCCAAAUCUUGUACCCACUAAGACCCCCUACCACAAUCUCACGAUCUGCUGUCGUAGACACCUCUAGCCUACUAGACCUCCUGAUCUACCUCUCGGAGCCUCCUACUAGACUUUCUGAUCUAUCUGUUGCAGCCCAAUUUGCUGUCUCCUACAGCCUCCUGGUCUUAUGUUGGAUGUCUCUUCAAGUGAAAUACCAAGAAUCGCCUGUUCUUGUUCUUAUAACUACGCUUCAAUCCACCUCUCACAAUCAUCUAAUGAAAGAGUCCAUUCCUUAAAAGAUUAAGGAAGCACGGUGUUUUUGAUUAUCGAACCUUUGUUAUUUUUACAAAACUCGAUUGUCGAAUCACAAGAAUGAAUAUGAUGGAUUCACCAAUGAAUUGCGCCUUCGAUCUCUUGAACAAUGAUAUGAAAGUGUUAUAAACAUGAAAGCACAAUGAGCAACUCUGAGAAAAAUCAUUCGUAACUCUAGUAUUUGUAGUUGGGGCAAAUAGUUGUCAUGGGCCAUUUAAAAUUCUUCAAAUCAUGACCUAGGGUUUGGCCACGUGACACUAUCGCUCGAGCGACACUCUAAUGAGAAACGAGCGACAGCUUUUUCACUCGAACGACGCAGGGACAACAAGCAUGCGACAAUGGUUCUGUGUCAGCCAUUCGAGCAACAACUUGGUGAGCAACUAGCAAAGGUGAGCAACUAGCAAAAAUUCAACUAGUCUUCUCCCUUGUUCCAAAAUCAACCCUAGGCUAAACCAUCUAUACAAAUUGCAAUCCAAGUCAAUAUUUUCAAUUUAAUCCCUUUUGUUUACAAAAUCGCCAAUUGCAAUAUAAAACCUAACACUUUGUGUUAAAAAACAUAUCAAUCCAUAAAGUCAACCCACAUAGCUCAACAUAAAUGUAUCAAAAAAAAAAAAAGUUUAAAACUAAUGAACAUAUCAAUGCGAGAGUAUUGUAGAUUUUCUCAUGUCUAUAAUGCAACUUUAGCUAUUAACAUCUUAACUUAACAAUCUAAUUUGAAACAUGCAUUCUAUAACGGAAACUAACAUCAAAUUCAUAAGAAACUAAGCCCCUGUUUGUCUCCCUUUAACAUAAAACUCUUUAAUUCUAUUCAUUUUCAAUCACGUUUAUACAAUAAAAUAUUUUGCAUAUAAACCUAAUAGUUUUCCCACUUUUUAACCACAUGUUUCUCAAAAAAUCACUAUUUUUUCAAAAUAAUGGCCAUCAAACAUGGGCAAAUAUGCAAAUGCGCCUAAAUAAUUAAAUUUCAAAAGAGCCAAAUUCUUGGACAUAUUUCAAGUAUCUAAUGACACUAAAAAUCAUAUUCAAAUCAAAGUAUUAAUUUCCAAGCACAUCCCUCGUAAAAUUCCAAGCAACUUCCAUACAGGAACUCAAUUCUUGAGACAAUAAAUCACAUUGAAAUAUAUACUCUAAUUUCAAAGCAAACCUACCACCUAUUAGAGGCAAAAAUACAACUUCCUUAAAAAACCAAAUUUCUAAACCCAAAACCUUAGUUAUUGGAACAAUGGAAAAUUAUCAUACCUUUUGUUAAAAGCAAGGAGAAAAUCGAGCGAAUUUCUUGUUGGAGUUGCUUUUAGGUACAAGCUUCUUGAACUUUUUUGAUUAUUUUGUAUACUAUGAAAGAAAAAUUGAACACUAUUGUUGGAGAAAGAGAGCAGAGAAUGAGGAAGAAAAUAGUUCAUAAAACUACUGUGGGGGUUGGGUGGAUUACCAUUCGUGGAAGGAAGAGAGUACGAGGAAGAUGAAGUGGAAAUGAGGAGGAAGUAGGUGUGCAUUUCAAAUGAUGGGGUGGAGUGUGUUUGGAACGAUAUUUUCAAUUUUUUGGUCCAAGUUUUUCAACAUAUCAAGUCCAAUCUCAUGUAGGACAUGUAGGGUAUUUUUUUUUUUUAGUAUAAAAAUUCAAAAGUGACAAAUGGAAACAAAAUUAGUGAAAGUUGACAUUUUUAUAGAUGAAUUAGUGGAUUUUGACAUGUGGUGAAAUUUCCUCGAUAUAAAAAUGCAUUAACACUAGCCUUCUUUGCUCUAUAAUUUUCCUCAUCGCUGUCAAGAUUUUCGCUAAGAACAUAUCCUUUAUAAAGAUAGAAAGGUAAUAGGCAUUUUUCUGAUGGUGCGUCCAGUAACCAACUGAAGUUUUGAUGUCUAUAGACAGAAUGACAUGACCAUGCUACGUCUUUCAUUAGCACAAAAGCAUGAUUGAGUACUACUUACUCAAAUACAAAGGAAAUAUAUGAUUUUUCAUCGUAUUGACCAGUGCGAUUAUGCCACUUUUGAAUCUGGAAUGCAAAGAGAUCGAUCUGGGAUGAUGAUCUCUAAUUCCUUCUCUCAAGCUAUCGCACCUCAAAGUUUCUUCUCCAUAGAGUGCUUGAAAGAUUCGUCUCCAAGAUUAAUGGCUUGGAAAAGGUAAACUCAUUUUUCUUUCCUAGUUCUGUUUUUUGUGGCCUGUCAAUGUUCUUUUGGGCGCUAUCAAUGAUAGUGGUGACCAUUGAAAAGUGCAAUUCCUAAUUGUACAAAGCUUUCAAAUGACAUGGAAAAAUAGUACUGCAACACUAGGGUUCUAUUGAGCAUGGCCUAUUUUUCAUAGAGGUGAGUGAGGCCUGAGCAGGCCCAACAUUAGAGGGAUUUCAUUCUUUCUUUUUCUUUUUUUUUUUCCUUUUUUUUUUUUUUUUUUUUUUUUUUUUUUUUUUUUUUUUUUUUUUUUUUUGUAAAUUAGAUUCACUAUGAUUUUUUAUUAAAACUUUGGUAAAUUAGAUCCAUUUCAUUCCAUUUAUAAAUAAGUUCCAAUAAUGUUUUUAAUUGUGGGAAUUUUAUUUCUAAAUUAGGUCCAUUUCGAAUACAGCAAAAGAGGACACGAGGCAUAGGAUUUUUCAAACUCAUGUUGCAAUGAUUUCUUAAUUCUACUUAACUUGUUCAUCACAUAGUUAGUAUUUGAUUUAUUUGUUUAAAAUAAGAGAUGUUUUAUUAGACUUGGCAAAAAUUAUAUGAGAAGUAUCAGGAACAUAAUGGACGUUUGGAUAUUAAUGAAGAUGAUUUAUGUUCUGAUUUACAUGUUUUCAGGUACUAUAUACUAAGUGAAGCAACAAAAAUAAUUGAAGUGCUACAAUAUUUGAAUACAUCUCAAAUACUUAUAUUACUUUCAAAAACCACAUCUUACCUCUGAUCAAUUAUAUCACAAGAAAGAUUGGAAUGAUUGACUAUGUUAUCAAUUGAGAAAGAAAUGAUUGAACAGGUAGAUCAUUCAAAUUUCAAUAAUGUUUUUUUCUCUGAAAUUGUAAGACGAAUAGUCUCUAACUGGUUGUUUGAAGCAUUGUUGGCUUUAUUAUUUGAUUAUAAUAUAAAUCAUUUGUAUAAUACAUUUUAUUUGUAGUUUUAUUGUUAAGUUUUAAAUUAACAAGUUAACUAUUGACUCAAUAAUACACUUAUAGAUUUUGCAUACACUUAUAGAUUUUGCAUGCAUAAUUAAAAUUUUGCAGCCUAAUUUAUGAUAUUCGGCUCAGGCCUCGAAAAUCAUAGAAUCGGCACUGCUACUGAGCAGAGAAAAUUCCUACAACUAAAAUGUUCCCAGUAGCCAAAAAAGCGCAAAAGAAAAAAAAAGGUCUAACAAUUAUGACGAAAGCGUAGAUGAAGAUGUUCCCUGAACUAAACAUUCCUUGGUUUGUUGCAAAGAGAGCCAUAUAGCUAAUGCAUAGAAGAAAAAACUGACUCCUCUCUAAGAACGGUUUUGCAAAUAAAAUAAGCACAAUAAAUUUAAUUUCUAGUAUAAUUCAUUUUCCAUUUAGUAUGUAGUAGAUAGCCUAAUUCUCUAGCUUUAUUAUUUUGCCUAGAAAGUAAGAUUUCUAAUUAUUUUAGAAUAAUAUUAUUCAUAAUCAAAUACUGUAGUAGUCAUAUUAUUUGAAAGUUUGUUAUUUAUGAUAUUGAUUUUCUAUAAUUUUGUAGUCGCAAAUAACAAGUUAGUGUACCAAAUAAUAAUUUAUCACAUAAGGAUGAAUGCUACAGUCACUAAUUAUGAAUAUCAUUGCUAUUUAUUUUAUGGUAGCCAAAUCCAAUUUUUCAUUAUUUAUGGACCGAAAAUACUUCUUCCCCAUAAUUGGCUGUGGUUUACUGUGCGUAAAGAUCGACUUCUGUAGCGAUCGAGAAAAAAUAUAUAUCUUGUGUCAUUUUAAAAUAAAAUUUUCUUGUAGAGCUCGAAAAUAAUUUAAAUUAUAUUUAUUAUGCCGCUACAUCCUUCCUAAGAGUUCAAAUUAAAAUUUUCGUCACGAUGGUAAAGUUUCGCAUACUUGUUUUUAAAAAACUUUUGUAAGAUAUCAAAUUCCUCUUAAACAACGAAUUUUUUUUAUUUUGACUAUGUUAUGUAAUUGUGACGACACAUUAAAAAAAAAAAAAAAGAUUGAACCCCAACCUUAAGGGUCCCCCACCGCCCCUGCCCUGGAGUAUCGUGAGGGAGGUAAAUCGCAGGUUAUGCCUCCAAAAGUACAGGGUGGAAGGCUGAUUGUACACUUGCACUUACCCUAGAGCCAAAUCCAUAUUUCAGGAUUCGAACCCUUAAUGCGGCAGCCUCAAGUAAAGCUGGAUUUCUCCACCCUCCCCUUUUACCACUUGGAGAUGUGCCCUGGGGGGCACUUUAUAUUAAUUAUUGCUUAUAUGUUAAGUGCUUAAAUUUCGAAAAAAAAAAAGAAAAAAAAAAAGAUAAAUCGAUUAUAUUCUACCAAACAAUCCCAAUUUCAUUCCAUUACAUUUUUCUCACUCACGGUUUUUCUCCACUAAUGCAUCUCCAUUUUUUAUUUUUAUUUUUAUCCCUCAACCUAGUUUUUCAUUUCCUCCACUAGACUUGCCAUUUGAAUCACACUAAUGCCAUAAUCAUCCAAAUCAAUUAUGUUAAUUAUAAACAAAGAAAAAAACUGCUGCCAUUUAUUUGGAAAAAUAUUUGCACGCACUAAACAAAAAAGUGUUUUCACAACAUAUAAAUGGCAACAUUCAUUAAUUAAAUAUUGCUAAAAGGGCCUAUUGCAUUAGUAAGUGAAUGUUGCCAUUGGUGUUAAUAAUUGAGAUUUGACAACAUUUUUUUAAGUGAAUAUUGCUAAUGUUCUCGUUUUGCAACGUUUAUUUGAUGUUGCUACAAUUUUAUUUUUGCAACGUUUACCAAACGUUGACUUGUCAAAGGCCCUUUCACAACGUUUGAUCAACAUUGCAAAAAGUUUAUCUUUUGCAACAUUUCUCAAACAUUGCAAAAGAGAAACCUUUUUGCAACAAUUGAUAAACGUUGCAAAAAGUGUAUCUACCACAACAUUUAUCAAACGUUGCGAAAAGUUGUAAUCUUUUGUGACAUUUAAUAAACAUUGCAGAAAGUUAAACAUUAAGGUAGGUCGUGUUUUGGUUAAGAAGGCGGGUUGGGUUGAUUCAAGACCCGACCUGAACCGCACCUGCAUAGUUUGAAAGAAAAAAAGGAUUGAAAUCAAAUGUGAAUACAAUUAAAUUCGGGUUAAUAGCACAAAACAUUCUUACGUUUGACACUUCUUGUGGAAAACGUCCCCACGUUUCUUUUUUUUUUCUUUUUUUCUUUUUUUUGCAUUUUCGUCCUUAUUUUAACGUUUCACUGCAGAAAACGUCAUUUUCACCAUUUUUAAUGUAAAAUGACUAAAAUAUCCUCCUAUUUAAAUAAAAUCAAAAAAGAGAAAAGAAAAUUAAAAAAUAAAUUACAAUUAUACUCCUAAAUGUUUUAAAUAGUGCAAAUGAGACUAAAUAAUUAUUAAACGUCCCUAUGUUUGACACUUGUUGCGGAAAAUGGUGGAAAUGACGUUUUCUACCAUGAAACAUUGAAAUAAGGACGAAAAUGAAAAAAAAAAAAAAAAUGAAGACGUUUUCCACAAAAAGCAUCAAACGUAGGGACGUUUUGUGCUUUUAACCCAUUAAAUUCCAAUUACACAACCCUUAUAAUUCUCCCUCUCUCUCUCCCCUGCCGUCGUCUCUCUUCUUCUCUCUCUCGCCGUUGUCUCUCUUCCGUUCAAGAACCUAAAAGUAAGGCACUUUGGUGAUUUUCAAGGUAGCUGAAGGCUAUAUAAAGGGAAAAAAUUUGGUUAAGAGAAAACCAGUCUUUAUACAGCAACAUAGUACUCUUCUAUGGAAGAAAACACAAUACAAAGCAUGAGUUUAAAUCAAAUUCAAGUUUGAAGGAGGAUUUCUUAAGGUAAAAUUUAUUUUUCUUCAAUGCAAGAAGUAAAUCAAAAAUUCGAUUUUUCUUUGAUUAUAUCAUUUACUAAUUUCGUUUUUAAGGUGAAUGAUGAAAGGUAGUAAUAUACUUUUUGCUAUUUGUUGGUAUUUAAUUGAAUUUUUUCAGACUAAAUGCCUUAAUUAAGGAAUAAUUUUAAUUUACAUUCAAAUAAUGAGUUGACUUAAUUAUGUAGAACUGAUUAUAUUGGAGAGAGGUUAUCAAUUAAAUAAAGGGAUCCAAUCAAAUACACGGAGUUUUGUUGUUACAAAUGGAUUGUUAGAAUUACAGGAAUAAUAUGAUGAAUUUGACAAACUUGUAUUCCUUUAACUUUACCCUACAAUGCAAAACCCAAUCACUUUAUUAUACUAUUUGAGAACUAAGAUUUUGGUUAUAGUUCUACCCUGUUCUUGUUUACUUAUAGCAUAUUAUAGAUUGCUGUUUCUCAGUUUCGGAAUAUAUCCACUUAUGUAGAAGUCAAAAUUACUGGUAGCUGGUGUUGUUCUUGGGUAUGUUUGGGUAAUUAAAGUUGCCAUAUUCAUUAAAAUGAUUGUUUUUGUUUCUGUUUUUCUUUUUUUUUUUUUUUUUCAGUCCAUUAUGAGCCUGCCUUAGACUUUUGGUAUGCAAAUGAAAACACCAAACGCUCACUUAUAGAAUUUGCUAUCUAUUGUGGAGUGUCAAAUAGAAAAUUACAACCUUUCCAUAUUGAUAAUAUCCUGUUAUAGCAGUGUUUUAAUAUUGUGGAUAUUUGAUUAAGCAUGUAAAUGUUGCUAUUACAGGUAUGGAUCUUGAUGAACAAUGUGCAUACCACUUUGAGUUAAUUGUGGAUCUUGAUGAACAAUGUGCAUUUAUUGAGGUUUUUCUAAAUAUCUUUAUUGGCUAUCAUUUAUUUCAACAUUUUGGAAAAAAUGAAGUAAUGCAGUCUUUUUCAUUCUCCAGUUUUUAUCUUAUGGACAGGGUUUUGUUUCAUUACCUUGGUAAUUUUAAGUGGAAAAAAUACUUAUAUAUGAUCAUUCUCCCCUCCCUUUCUUUGUUUCUAAACAUUGUGAAUGUAAUAGAAUGUGUUGAACAUUGUGAAAAAAAUUGGUCUCUCAACAACCCCUCUAUCGACUUGGAGUUUCGAGUCAGGUGACAAUCUGUUUCUAGUUUGGUCUUAGUUGAAGUUUAUCAAACAGCAUAUUCCUCUAUUUGAAUUAAAAGGGGAUAGACUGCAACUAGAGGUAGAAAGAUGAAAGGGUAAUAUUCUAGUUCUAAAAAUAAGACUAAGAAGAACUUUCUUCAAGUUAUGGGGAUAGGAGUUUGGACAUUAAGGGGAAAAAACAUGAUUGGAGAGAAUUUGGAGCCACAACAUCGAAGAAAAAUACAAAUACCGAUGGGAUUUCAGGCAAUUAUUUAACCCGGUGACGUUAUUUUUUCAAGUUAUUAUGUAUUUUGUAAUUUUCUCCAUGCUAGGGUAGAAAUUCUUAUGCUAUGAGAUCGAUGAACCUUGUAAUGUGAUUCUUAAUUCAUUCUUUCAUAUUUUUGACAUUAAAACACGUUUGAUUAUUUUGAAUGAUUUAUAUACAUUUAAUUUCUUUCGCAAUUAAGGGCCCGUAAUUGUGUGAGUUUUGGUAACUUAUUUCUUGCAUUCGAGAGAAGGGAAAUACGUUCAACAAGGUAUAAAUCAUCGUAGGGUCUGAUAGGGGAUAAAUAUAUACCGCUAUACUCUGCGUGAAUCUUUAAGUGCUCACAAAACUACAUGAAUUCUUGUAUAUUUGCACCCGUCAUAGAGAUAUAGGCUGGUGGUAUAUGAGAGUAGGUUCAACUUUGCUCGAGAGAAACUGUUGGAUAGAUUUAGGAGCAUUGGUCCUUCAUAAUUUCAACGUAUUGUCAAAUUAUAGAACUAGGGUUGAAUUAAGCAUUGCUUGGGAAUUCGUGAUCCCAGUACAUUAUUCAAUCUCUGAAUACAUUACAUUGAGUUCUCAACAUUUAAUAGCAUUUUAGUUCAUUUAAACAUCAAUUUUCAUUUUGUUCAUUGCCUGCAUAAUUAGCUUAGGUUAGGGAGUAAUUAUAUUAUAAAAUCACUUGUCAAAAUUUAGUUUCGGUUAAGGUCUAGAAUAAAUAACAUUUAACUAACUCAAUCUCAGUGGGCGAUAUUCGGAACUUUAAAUUCCACUAUAUUACUUGUCACGAACCGUACACUUGCGAUAGUUUUAAAUCGAAAUAAAUAAUUUCGUGAACACUAGACCAGGCUGACUUAUUGGUGGAAUAUUUGAAGUUCUAUGAGAAACAUCCAAUGCCAUGGAGAAUUAUCCGUUCUCAUGUGCACAAGUUGGUGGUACAUGUUUUAAUUUUAUUUUGGAAAAUAGAAUGUGUUGAAUAUUUUACAAGUUUCGAAUUGUUGGAUCAAAGAACAGAUUUUCAGUACCGUAGUAAGCAUAUAUGAAAAAGUGCGAAUUAAUUUUAAAAAAAUAUAAAAAUGACCAAUGACAACAUUUGCAAAAUGUUGCCAAAACCUAAGGAUAAAAUAAGAUAAUGUUGCAAAAACGUUGCAAAAAAUUAACGGCAAAGUUGAAAAAACAUUGCAGAAAAGUUGACGGCACCAUUAAAAAAAUAUUGCAAAAAGUUCAACGGUUACGUUGAAAAAACACUACAAAAAUGUUAAAUUGUAAAAAAAUUAACGGUAACGCUGAAAAAUGUUGCAAAAACAUCUUCAGCAACAAUUUUUAAACGUUACAAAAAAGUCCUUUUGCAAAGGUGAAUAACUUUUGUUGUAUUCUACCCUCAACAGCAACAUCGAUCCCCACAACACAUGCUAAAACGCUGCAAAUGACCUUCUGCUAUGUUUUUUUACUGCUGCAAAAGCCCUUUUUUUGGUAUAGUGACGUUUAUAACUUCUAUUUCAAAUGAAAACUAUAACCUAAAAGUCCAUGUAUACACCAUUAACAUUUCACUACCAUUGUUUUUAAUCCCAUUUUAGUUAAUAACAAUCACCAUUAUAAUCUUGGAACUGAAAAACAAAAAUCUCCUACAACCUCUUAAGCUACGUUUUCUCUCCCAAACUAUUAUACCUAUACAUAAAAUUAUUUUGCCCUUUUUCCAUAAACACAAGGCACUUGAAUUUGAAAAUUUUCUAAAGAAGAGAUAAAGAGUAUGCUGGAUUUUGUUACAUAUUGAGUGCAAAAGGAUAUACAAACUCCAAGUAGUUAAGUUAGGGAUCUUUUGACACUUUUCUAAGGGGAGUAAAAAAAUUUGUUGUUUUCGAUUCGCAUUAACGUGUUAUUGUUUUACUCAUGAGAGAAUGGAAGCACCCUUUGGUGUUUCAACUAUAAGAUGAAGAGGAAACACCCUUUGGUAUUUCAACUAAGAGAUGAAGAGGAAGCACCCUUUGGUAUUUCAACUAGAGAUGAAUUUUGAUUCAUGAAAAGGGAUUGUUAAAACCUAAGAGUAUGCAGACUAUUUGAUCUUCGGUUCGCUUUAAAAUUGACGGUGACGCAAAUAACCAAAGAUUGCAAUUUUAGAAAACAUAUAUUUCUUAUCAACUAACCUGAAUUUAUAGGUUAGCUGAUGGGAUGGCAGUGGCUUGACAUGGUGGCAAGUGAUCGGUGAUUUGAAAUGCUCUCAACUUUCUAGAAGAAAGAUUUCCAGUUGUGUAUACCUUUUCUGAACAUUUAGAUGGCACUUUUAAAAUGUUUAAUUUUCUGAGCCGUCUAGUUUAAUAUACAUUUCAUGUCAGCCAUAAUUUGAAAAUACUGAAAUGACUAUGCAUAAAGUUUAUUUGUUGCUAGAUUGAAUUUGAGAUUAUGUCCUUCCAUUUGGAAAUGGUAUAGCUUGGGCCAUGGUGCAUGUUUUGAAGUGAAAUUAGUGGUUUCACUGGUCUAUGAGUCUUCUCAUGGUAGUCUUUUGGAAUUACCUUAAAAUAUUAUCUAAAGAAAAAGUUAUGUCCAUUUUUGUAAACUGCGUCGAGUCAGCUCCGAAUUUUCUGUCCAGCAUAGUCGAACAAUUUUUUCAUGCUUCAAACAUUACCGUCGAGACCCCAAUUUUUCAUAUGAUGUAGGUAUAUGAAUGUCAUAGUCUCUGUUAAAAUUUCAUAAUUUUUAUUCAAUGUUUUCCAUGUCAAACAUAUUUUCUCUUUCCGCAGUUGCGUACUGAUAUUUGCUAAAUUUCCUCCAACUGUUUUCCAAAAUCAAAUUCCACCAUAAUUGUCUAAAGACUAUAUGGACAAAUAUCUCGCAUUUUAUGGAGUAAAAGCGGGAGAUUGAUGGGUUAAAACAAAACUUAGCUACUCGGGCUAUACCUCAAGCAUCUCAAGUUUCACCAGUCUCCCAUGCACUGUCGGUGCCACCAACAUACUCGACAGCACUGCCUAUUCCGACGGUAGAACAAUCUCGUAGAUAUCAACCCCCUACAUUUGAUGGUGGAAAGGACCCACUAGCAGUUGAUGAGUAGUUGCGUACUAUUGAGAAGAUCUUUCGGCACAUCUCUUGUCCAAAAAAUCAAAAAGUAUUAUGUGCAGAGUUUAUGUUAAUCGGAAGAGUAGACCAUUGGUGGGAAUCUGCGUCACGCAUUCACACUAAGGAGGAACAACGUAGCCUAACUUGGGAUCAGUUCAAAAUGGAACUAAUUGAAAAAGUUUUUCCAUAAGCUAUGUGAGACUAUAAGGAGACAGAAUUCUUAAGACUAGUACAGGGAGAUAUAGAACUUUCUGAGUAUGAGAGCAAGUUCGAGAAAUUAUCCCGACAUGCCUCAUAUCUUGUGAGUACUGAACUCAUAAAGGCAAAACAUUGUGAAAGUGGCCUACACUUGGAGAUCGGGCAAAUUAUGAAUUCAAACAAUCUUACAACUUUACAGUCAGUGGUAAAGAAAGCUCAAAUAAUGACCUAUUCAAGGUGAUGUAGGUAAAUCAAGGAUAGCAUAAGGACUUUGAAGAAGGAAGUGGCAGGAUAAGAAUAAGAAUACGGGACAGUUUAAAAAGUAGACACAUGUGGGUCAGCCAAGCAAUCCUUUAUCCCAAUGUCUUAAGUGUAACAAGUUUCACAAAGGAGAAUGUCUGUAAGGAAGGUAUAUCUUCUAUAAGUGUGGUCAACUCGGCUAUGUAGCUUCUUCGUGCCCAUUGAUUAAGAAAACCGGGGAAGAGAAAAAAGGAAAAUCAAUGGUGUUCGCUUUGACUCACGAUGAGGCUGCUCAAAAUUUAGACAUGAUCCCAACUAUUUUAUCUGUCGCUAGUAUUUCUGUUUACGUCCUGAUUGAUUCCGGUAUAACACAUUCAUUCAUAUCUAGCUAAGAUUAGUGCUUCAUGUCAGAAUAAUGAUAGUGUACUAGAUGUUAAUAUGCCAUUAGGGGGAACUAUUGAUACAAAUAGGAUAGCAAGGAGAGUACUGAUAAAUUUUGAUGGACCGACUUUAGAGGUCGAUUUGUAUGUUAUAGAGAUGAAAUAUUUUGAUAUUAUUUUAGGUAUGAAUUGAUUAGGCGCGAAUUGAGCCACUAUAGUAUGUUUUGAGAAAGACGUAAUUUUUUGAAGAUCGGGAAAAGAGGAGUUCAGAUUUUAUAGAUAGAAGAUUAAGGCACUUCCUCGCAUCAUCUCAUCUUUAAAAAUAGAGAGCAUGUUAAAAAAAAACUGACUGUUAAGAAUAUCUUGUCAGUCUUAUUAGCACCUCAACUCAAGAGAAAGUGUUAGAUGAUAUGUCAAUGAUACAGGAGUAUGCUGAUGUGUUUCCCGAUGAUCUACAACUUUCGCACGAAGAAAGUGACAUGCCAUACUUCCUUGCUCACGCGUUUCUAUUUUAUUGGAUUUUAUGGUAUAUUCUCAUUUUUAAAUCGAUCCUGUAGAGCAAAUAAAUAUCAAGAAAAUUUGUAAUUCACAACAUGGGGCCGAUUGACAUAAUUGAUAAUUGAUAUGGCACAGUAGUACGGGGAAUAGUCUCAAUUUUGGAAUUGACUUGUAGACAGAAGUUGUAGUCUAGCCAAUAGACCCAUAGACUGGGCAUUUGAUUGUUUGGAAUUGAAACCCACUUGGGUGAAUAAAAGUCUUGGUCUUCAGCAUAUUUAUCCCAUGUUAGACGGUGGUUUUUUUUUUUUUUUUAAUAGAAUGAAUUUUUUGAGAAUGUACGGUUAAAAGUGAAAAUUUUUAAUUUUCAUGAAUAAUUUUUGUUGUAAAAAUAUAUGAUUGACAAUAAGUUUGAUUUGAAAUAUAAUUAAUAGGAAGAGUCUUUUAGCCAAUGUUAUCAAAACCAAUCAAAUUGGGAGCUGGCUAUGGAGCCAGGUCAGAUACAUGUACAAACCCUUCUUGUUGUACAAGUAGGGGUGAACUCCUACCAAACACUCACAUGGGACCCCAUGUGAGUAAGGUCCCAUGUGAGUAAAAAGUUGGGAAAAAUAUCCACACCACCCACCUCAUGUGAGUAAUUACGUACAUGUUCUGUAAACAAUAAAUCUGUAUGUACACGUAAAUAACCUAAGGGUUAAAAAUUGCUUGAAAACUCUCGGAACCAGUAAAAUGGACAUGAUUUCGAUGACUUUUCUAGUUCAACGACGGUAUCUCUUUUGAGCUUCAGUAAAAAUCUUUGGUUCAACUAAGUGAUUUUUCUGGUUCAACUAUGGCAUUUUUAUCAUACCUUUAGUAAAAAGCUUUAAGCUUCUUUUUCGUUCACUAUGGCUUCUCUUCUUCAAAUCCAUACAUUUUUAUCUUCAUUUUUCUUUGAAUCUUCCCCAUACAGCUUCACCAUUUUCUCUUUGUGUUUUUUCUUUUUUCUUUCCAAUGUAAGAUUUAUGGCUUGAAAAAAUUGAUUCUUGCUGUUGAUACGUGGGUCCUGUGCAAUUAAUUAUGUUUUGUUGAACAGUUUCUGAAUAUGAUUGCAAGCCACCCGCCAACUAAUUUGUGUUUUUUCUUCCGUUUAUAUUUAGCAAUUUCGUCGAAUUGUCAAGGGAUUUUUUUUUUCUCCUAAUCAGAGGUAGUUUUUUCUUUGAAGAAGGCAAGUGAUGGUGUAUUUGGCAAUUGACUAUUAUGUAUAACAUGCAUGAGGGUCGAACGCUGCAAUGGGCAGAUUCUCUGCAAGAAAUUAUUUAUUUUAAAAUCCCUUCUGCAUAGUAUCAAACUUUGAUAAAAAUCUAAUUUUAAUUAAGAUCAAACGGGGGUUUAAUAUUAUUUUAUUUUUAUUUUUUCAUAAAUGAGAUAUUAAUAAAUAUAUGUAUUUUAUAUUGACAUUUAUUUGUAAUCAUGCUAAGAAUCAAAAACCAACAAAACAUAAAUUUAAAAAUUGAAUUUAUACCUGAGAAGCUAUCGUUAAUAUGAAUAAUAAUAGCCAAAUCUUCCCCUCAUUACUCCUCACAAAAGUGUUGGCCAUCAAUAGGAUAAGCCAAUAAAACCAUAUGAAGAGGAGAUGAGACCUAGCCUUUAUAUAGAAAAUAACUGAGUCGUCCCAUUACGAUUAAAAUUAUAAUUAGGUUUUAUUUUCGACCCAUAUACUUAAAAUUACAACUUCAUAUUAAUUACAACUCGUAAGGUGUAAAAGACCUAAUUGAUCACUUAAUAAAUUUGGUCCAAACACAAAUAUCAUUAUGAGCCAUACAUUUAGCCCGUAAAAUUUGCAAUCGAAUGUAAAUUCCACGUAUGGAAUUAUUCCAACAUUUUAUACACAUAUUUGUCCAUAUAUGUGCGUUUAGACAGAGUGCAUUUGGCUGUUGAUUAAGAAAUGUGAAUGGGAUUCGUAAGAGAAAGAAUGGUCUUCUUAAUUUAUUAUUAAAGAAUGAUUAGAUUCGUAGUCCACUGCCCAAUAUUUAACAACAAAAUAGACACUCUUAAAUAACUUUCUAUUUCAAGUUUAAAAUAAUUUAUUGUUUAUUUUAUCAUCGGUUUGUUAUCAGUUCAAACCUUUAAUCCUCGACUCCUUAUCUUUUUCAAGUCGAUGUCUAGUCUGAUUUAUAAAAUAUUGCUUUUAGGUUAUGGAAUGUUUUAAUAGUCAUGUCUAUAUUAUGAAUGGACAAUAUAUUGAAGUUCAAUCAAGGUUUUUUUUUUAUUAUUGUACCCAUACAAAUAAAACCUUGGAAUUUUUAGCUCUUGAAGAACACUGUAGAAGGCCGGAGUGUUUCAAAAUGCAAUCAAGAAAAAAAAAACGCAAAUAAAUCUUUGUAAAGUACAGUAAAAGGGUAAUUUCAAAACAUCUACAUGUAAGAAAAAAAUGAUUUUUUGAGAAUAGAUUUUGUGAAAAAAGAUUUUUUGGUGAAUAUGUGGUUAAAUAGUAAGAAAAAAUUUGAUUAUUUUACCCAUACAAAUAAAACCUUGGAAUUUUUAGCUCUUGAAGAACACUGUAGAAGGCCGGAGUGUUUCAGAAUGCAAUCAAGAAAAAAAAAACGCAAAUAAAUCUUUGUAAAGUACAGUAAAAGGGUAAUUUCAAAACAUCUACAUGCAAGAAAAAAAUGAUUUUUUGAGAAUAGAUUUUGUGAAAAAAGAUUUUUUGGUGAAUAUGUGGUUAAAUAGUAAGAAAAAAUUUGAAUUUACAUGUAAAAUUAUUCUAUUCUCCUUUACUAGGAGAAUAAAAUAAAUUUUAAAAAGGGAGGAUCAAACAAGCCCUAUUAAUAAAUACUCUACACUUACUUUGAUUUUGUACAUACCAUGAGCAGUGCUCUCAUCAUAAGGGCUCAUAGGAUAGCUUUUCAUUUGAUUAAUUCAGUGAUAUCUAUGCAACUAUUGAAGCAGUAAAUUCAAGACAACAAAAGAUAUUUAGCAGUCUCAAUGUGUUUAGAAAGCUCAAGAAGACAAAAACAAAACAAUAAAUUAAACCUUAUUCUCAAUAAUUCGGAUCGACUAUAUGGAAUCCCUUUCACCAGUUCAUCAGGCUCAUUGCUAGACUUACAGAAAGAUCCAAAUCAGCAGAAUGCAUGGCUAAAAAUUGCCCAGGGCGGCUAAUGAAGUUAGGCAUUUAGAAAAUGUCAUUCUCAUAAUAGAAUAUGAUAAGAUUUAUGACUUUUCAAGCAUACUGAAUAAGCCCAAAAUACCUCUUACAGAUGUACAUUCCUGUAAGCCCUUGUAUUUUGUUUGUAUAGCCUCUUCCCACGGAGUGAUUAUCUGUCAAGAAAAUUGAGCAGACAUUGAUGGAUUAAAAUUCAAACAAUGACCCAUUCUCUUCAAACAAUGACCCAUUCUCUUCAAACCCUCUAUAAAAGAGGGAAUCAACAACAUAAUUUGAUAGCUUAUUCUUAUUUUCUCACUUCAUGGCUGGUUUCAGAAAUCAUUUCACUAUUGAAAUGGCUCUAGUUGGGCUUCUCAUAUUGGCUGUCCUAGAUUUCACAGGUCUUUUUCUCUUUCCCUCUUAAUUAGAGCAUGCUUACUGUGUAGUACUAGAUUAGAUUACAAAGUAUAACAAAUGAGAUUUUAGCUUCUUUUUCUCGUUAAUAUUGUUUUGUACAUUCCUAUCUACCUUCCCAAACACGCCAUUAAGUUUAACGACGAUAUAUGUCACGCCUAGCAGCAUAAUCUGCAGAUUAUGAAUUCAAAUAUUACGUGCUUAGUCCUGAUAUUAUUUUGUAUGAGCACUUCUCAAUAAUUUGUGUAAUAAUAGGCUUAUUUUAUGUUCAUUAUGAUACAGUGGCUCAGACAGGGGUUUGUUAUGGAAGGAACGGGAAUGGAUUACCACCUCAAGCAGAAGUCAUCGCGCUAUACAACCAGAAUAACAUCCGAAGAAUGAGAAUCUACGACCCAGAUCAGGCUACUCUUCAGGCACUUGGAGGCUCCAACAUUGAGCUCAUACUAGGCGUCCCAAACCAGGAUGUCCUUCAGAAUCUUGCUGCUAGCCAAAGUAAUGCAGAUACUUGGGUUCAAAACAAUGUAAGAAACUAUCCUAAUGUCAAGUUUAGAUACAUUGCAGUUGGAAACGAAGUGAGUCCCUUGAAAUCGGACACAUCUCAGUAUGUACCGUUUGUCCUCCCUGCCAUGAGAAAUAUUCAAACUGCAAUUUCUGCAGCUGGACUUGGGAACCAGAUUAAGGUUUCUACUUCCAUUGAAACUGGUAUGAUCGAAAAUUCUUAUCCC